GUCCCUGUAGUGCAAUGGAUAGCGCGUUGGACUUCGAAUCCAUCGGUCGUGGGUUCGAAUCCCUCUUGGGAUG
Molecule: non-coding RNA, 73 nt
Organism: Trichonephila clavipes
Lineage: Eukaryota; Metazoa; Arthropoda; Arachnida; Araneae; Nephilidae
Source: the annotation of a GenBank genome assembly